UUGCCAUCACCACUCUAACCUCCACUGGACAGAGCCAAGAAUCAGGUGGAAACCGGAAAGGAGGACAGAGCAAACCCCGAUGCACAGCGAAUGUCAGAGGUUACUUUAAAGACUUCAGAGCAGUUCCACUGACAAAUGGAUUCAGUGAAGAGAUUGAGCUGGCAUCACUUCUGGUGCAUGUUACAAUACAGAAGCAUCCGGUGGAGGUUCCCUGUGCCCUUUUCACUUCUCUUCAGGGCUCUCACAAUGUCUUCUGUUUUCACACCCCUAACAAGACUUGACUUGAGUGAAAAGGAACAGGUAAAUCCGAACUGGACUAUUCCGUGAAAAAUGAUGUGGGGGCGGACACUGACCACUUGCGUGGUAGAUCAGGUCAGAGAGUGUAAGGAAAAUCCAAACAAAAGGGCACAGAGCUGGCCACGAGGGGGUGGAUAAAAGUCAGGCUAUUAAAAGUACAUUAGUUAAAAAGCCAUCACCUCACUCCAUUUCUCACCAUAAAGGCAGGGAAUUCAGUCAGCCAGAUGAAUUAGCAGGAAUGGCAGAUCAGCUGUGUGAAAGGGAGGAAGUUUCCUUUGUGAAAGAUGACCUGCCUGACGAGCUAGUUUGUCUUAAGCUCCGAUGAUGGUAGUUUUAAGCAAAUUUUAAGAGAGAGAAACAUAGUGGAGCUUCCAGAUUGAGAGCACUAAGCCUCAGAGGUGGUGAUAGUGUUGUGCGGUUUUGUUUUGUGUCUGCUGGUAAAAACUGAGAGAGUGGUCCUUGAUAUAAGUGCGUUAACUGUGGCGGAGCACCCUGACAGUGUAAUUUCUUCAGUCUUAUACUGGUUUUGAAGGACUCUUUAAAUUAUGUACUUUGGUUUUGGAAUUAACUGUUUGCCUAAGGUGACAAUCAGCAAAUUGAUUGCCACAGUAAACCAUUUGUCUAAUAUCAAGAACUUACAACAGUGGUCUGCUGCAUUUACUCUGGCUCCCGUAUAAUUAUUAACUACAAACUUAAUGUGCAACCACAGGACCAUGCUAUCAGUUACAUGAUAAGAACAUGCAAAACUGACUGCACUGCAUGCAUAAGUCUCUGAGGACACUUUGGAUUCAACCAGAAUGCCUUAAAAGUAAACUCAACUCAUUCAAAAAUUGCACAUAAGAUGAAAGAAUAAGGAAAAAAAUAAUUGCAACAAGCUGAUUUACGAUGUCUGCCAUAGUUAUUUACGGAUAUUCAAUGUUUAAUAUUGUAAGUCUUAACAUUGGGUCCCCAACUAGUAUAAUUAGUACAAGGAAAAAAUAAAAUAAUUUCCUAAAAAAAGAAGCCUAGCACAGCAUACAGUCUAUGAGUACUGCUAGGUAAUAAAGGCCCUUAGAUUAUGCUCAUGAUUUCCAGACACGAGCUUAAGACCAGUAUUCUUUUAGAAACUUUCCAAAAUAGCCCCACCAAUUAAUCCCUAAAUAAACCGAAUUAAUGAUAAAAAGAUUAAUCACAUAUACAUUUGCUGGUCAAAAUAUUAGGAACCCAAAGUCAAAUGAACAGGGGCUUUCAGUUGCAGCACGUAGUUAAGGAAUAGGAGACAAGCUUUGAGCAUGUUCAUGAGCUAGAAAAACCUCCACAUCUCACUCCUGUUGAAAACUGACGGGACAGGAAACAUUCCAGAACCAUACAGUAACCAAGCUGAGUCCUAUUUAAAUUGUCUGCUACUCGGAGGUUCUCGUGUUCUGAUAUUUACUGAUGGUUCUGAUGGUUACUGACAUUUUGACCAAUGAGUGUUUUAAGCAAUUCAAAUUACUUUUUUUCUCCUUUAGGGAUUUACAGUACAUUCCAAACCCUUAACAGACUGUUAGAAACUAUAUGAAGAAGCACGGCUUACUCUGGAAAUAUGUUUUAGGAAUGCACUGAACCCAAUGAAACCACUGUACCAUUGGGCCGGGCAGCAGCGUCUCUCUCUCUCUCUCUCUCUCCCCUCCAGGGUCGGAAUCCGACGGCUUUUUUAAUGGAAUUGGAAUUCUUCCCAGUCUGGGUGUGGCAGUAAGGUGCUCUCUCCUGUGUGAAUUCGCUGGUGUGUUUUAAAGCUUAGAAACACACCACACCAGCGAAUUCACACAAGAUGAAGCCCUUUAAAAAUGUUUAAGGGAUCCCGUUGAACCGAAAGGGUCCCCACUCGGGGAACACCUCGGACCACAGCCUUUGCUCCCAGGGAGUUCCACAGAGCCCACUGCAGAAGGUCUUCGUUGUCGUGAUUGAGGGGUCAGGACACCCCACUUCCAAACUCCAGCUGUCUCGCAGAAACACCUGCUCCUUCCUGUGCAGCAGUGGGUCUUUGCCGGCCCAAAAGGGGACAGACAUUCACUCAAACAUUUCAGAAAUGUAAAUUGAAAACAAAUGUGCUGCAAAUGCUCUAGAGAUCUUUGUGGUGGGACGUAGACCAGCGCAGCAAUUUUCCUUUGCAUUCAAAAUUGUUUUAAGUUUGCAACGCUUCUUGUACAAUAACAACUACAGUCGCCACACUGAAAUAAUAAAAAGA
Non-coding RNA from Lepisosteus oculatus (spotted gar), 2506 nucleotides. The record is from RefSeq and is a predicted model, not a curated record. Lineage: Eukaryota; Metazoa; Chordata; Actinopteri; Semionotiformes; Lepisosteidae.